This 433-nucleotide ribosomal RNA is filed under the name uncultured bacterium. Its description in RNAcentral is "partial 16S ribosomal RNA". It matches the Rfam family "Bacterial small subunit ribosomal RNA", at positions 29 to 507 of the family's 1533-position model. The record is from RNAcentral.
AACGAACGCUGGCGGCAGGCUUAACACAUGCAAGUCGAACGGAUCCUUCGGGAUUAGUGGCAGACGGGUGAGUAACGCGUGGGAACGUACCCUUUGCUACGGAAUAACUCAGGGAAACUUGAGCUAAUACCGCAUGUGCCCUACGGGGGAAAGAUUUAUCGGCAAAGGAUCGGCCCGCGUUGGAUUAGCGAGUUGGUGGGGUAAUGGCCUACCAAGGCGACGAUCCAUAGCUGGUCUGAGAGGAUGAUCAGCCACACUGGGACUGAGACACGGCCCAGACUCCUACGGGAGGCAGCAGUGGGGAAUAUUGGGCAAUGGGCGCAAGCCUGAUCCAGCCAUGCCGCGUGAGUGAUGAAGGUCUUAGGAUUGUAAAGCUCUUUCACAGGUGAAGAUAAUGACGGUAGCCGGAGAAGAAGCCCCGGCUAACUUCGUG